Molecule: long non-coding RNA, 7258 nt
Organism: Nicotiana attenuata
Lineage: Eukaryota; Viridiplantae; Streptophyta; Magnoliopsida; Solanales; Solanaceae
Exons: 8
Source: RefSeq, a predicted model, not a curated record
UCUCUUUUUAUCUCGCAUGAUUCUCCUUCUAAAUAUGUUUUCAUUGUUUUCUAUAAUCAGACAAUUAUAUCCUUUCUUUUUGAGCUGAUAUCAAUAGUAAAACACUAAUGAUAAUGUAUUGAUUAGGAUGCCGUGUUUGCAAUGAUUAUUUUUAGUUGUAAAACACGGAAUUAAGGAAUUUCUCUUUGUAAUCCUUGUAACUUUACAUGUUAAAUGCACGUUUAUAUAUGCUUUUCUAGCUGGAAGUAGUAUUGCAAUGGAUUAUUUAUUUGCGUUUUAAGCAAUAAACAUAAUUUUAUUCUGAAAAUAUAAUUGAUUAAUUGGUCUCUUGGGUGUUCGGAGAGAGACAUAAAAUUGGAAAAAAAUAAUUAACUAAUUACAAAUCAUUUUCUUGAAAUAUCCAGUGGUUCUGGGAGCACAGUUGAGUGCAAUGGAUAUAUCAGAUGUAUCCUUAUUGCAGAUUCAGAAGCUAGUCAUAUUAAAGCUGUUUAAGUUCGUGUUUUAAUAAUCAAAUUUUAACAGCUGGUAAGUCUUUGUCUGAAGUACUAUACUUCCAGCAAUAGGAAGAAACAUAAAAUGAGUACUAAGACCAAUUAGAUUUUGUCAAGAUAGAAAUUUCAGUUCUAUUUGAAAACUCACAGUGCAGGAAAUCACAAAGAGCGGACUGCAUCCAAUCAAGAGUUUAUGAGGUAAUUUAUGCAUCCGCGUCUUAGGUACUGACACAGAAUGUAAGAAAAUUUGAAAUGUUGCAAAAUAAAAUGUAGUAGCAUAGGAGACAUCAUUGUUGGAGUGACUUAGAAAAUGUACAACCAGUAAGGUGCAAUUAUGUUCUUAAGAUUUAUCUCUCCUCGUUCGAUCAUCAGUCAGGUCAGAGAAGUAAUAGUUCUAAACCGUUCUUUCAUUAUGCUCAUUCCUUGUCUGAGGAUAUCUGAAAAAUGCAGUGUCUUGCCAUGUUUCCCAUCUGAGGUCCUCUAAAGCAAAAUUUCUGUGGUUCAAGCCUUUGAACAUGUCUUUGUUCUUCCACCAUGUGUUAAUUCAGAUUGUUAUCCAUAGUGACCGUAACUGUGUCGACUUCCGUUCCUUUGACGGGCAGCGUAUCUGGAAUCUCAUUCAGAUCAACUGAUGAUAUGGGUACAUCUAUUAGAGAGGAGCUCCAGACUUGCAAAUUGUCAUCUGCUGUUCCAGAAUGACCAGAUCGUCUAUCCUUGUCGGGACUUCUGCCUGGAAAAUUCAUGAGAGGCAAGUGACAAUUUUUGUGUGAGAACUCCUCUCUGUGGGUGGUUCUUCACUUCUGAACUCAUGUGAAUUAGUGGACAAAGAUACACAGAGAUAAAAAACAUGUUAUAUGUGAAUAUCAAUGCACAUGCAAUCUUUUUUUUUGAUAAGGUAUGCACAUACAAUCUAUUUCAAGUAAUAUGUUCCCCCCCGCUCUCCCUUACCACAGGUUGAUUAGAUUCCUCUGUGUUUGUAGAACUGAUGGGCACAUUCUCUUCCCUCUUUCACUCUAUAUGCUACUCACACUAUUUGUUAGAACAUGGCUGCAAAGAGUCUGAUGUUUCAGGAAUCUUCUUAGUAAAUGUCAAAGAUCAUGCUAGAACAAUUAUCAUGACUUUGCUACAAUGUUGAUAAACAUCCCUAAAUCUCUUUCAACUUCUGUACCUGACCCCUUGCUCCCUAUAGAUUGUAUUAUUCCCUUUCGGUCUGUCGCAAAAUGCAUUCUGCUUUCUAAAUUGAAAAUAUUGUUCCUUAAUUUAAAAUUAUUCCAAUUGAAUUUACAAAAUGCUUUCCAUGUAACUGACAAUCAAAAUCUUGCUUCUUUCCCUAUUUAUCAACUUUUGAAAGUUACACUAUUUUAAAAGUUACAACAACAACAAACCCAGCUUAAUCCCAUACGUGGGGGUCUGGGGAGGGUAAUGUGUACCAGCCUUACCCCUACCCUAUAAAGGCAGAGACACUAUUUUAAAAGUUGUAUCCACAUAAGUCUAGCACCUCUGUAGAGUCUUUGUCAAAGUGUCAAUACAACUCUCCUUGAUUAAAAAGAGAGUUAUAUGGAGAUCAAUUUAUUAUUAUACCAUCUCAACUUAUGAGAAAAAUUACUUCAACUCUAUACUUGGCUUCAGUUUCUCUAUAACACUACAUGAUUUCAACUUUUCUCCUUCCAUAGCAGAAGUCAGUAGAAUUUGGACAAUGGGAGUAUGAUUCAAAGCCGUUUAGGCGGGGAAAGUAAGCUGUGCACUCGAUACCAUCUUGAGAACAAGCUGAACUCCAUAUGAAUUGACUUCUUAUGGAAAGGUAAUGCAAAGAAAAGGAAGAUUCACUUAGUUAAAUGGCAAAUGGUUACAAAUGAUAAGAAAGAGGGAGGUUUGGGAGUGAAGAAUUUGAGAUUGCACAAUAAAAGCUUAUUGUUUAAAUGGCUGUGGAGAUACAACAAGGGUGGUGAUGGAAUCUAGAAAAGGCUCAUUGAUACUAUCUAUCACAAGAUGGAUGAUUGGAGACAAAGUCCCAUACAGCUGAGGGUUGCAGGGGGAACCUGGAAGGGUAUUAGUGGGGUUGUGGGAAGAAUUCUUGCAACAUACUAAGUGAUGGGAAAUGGGCUAGAAUUAAGUUUUGGAUACUUGGAUUGGGAAUUAUAGUUUGAGAAGCAGAUUUCCAGAUUUAUUCAGUUGUUCUGUGAAUAUGGAUGGCUUUGUAUCUGAUUUUCUCUGAGUCAGGAAGGCAAAUACAAUUCUGGAGAAACUUAAAUGAUUGGGAGAUAGAAGGUUACCGUCAACUCAUUCAACAGUUGGAGUCAAUUUCAGUGGAUCAAAAUUAGGAGGAUGGUUUGAUUUGGGUGAAUAAUAAGGACAAUAUGUUUGUUAAUACUUGCUAUAAGCUGCUACAUAAUCUUUCUGGUCAGGGGUUCCAAAUUGGCCUUGGAAGAGUAUCCAGAGAACUAAGGUCCCUGUCAAAGCUGCCUGUUUUGGAUGGAUUGUCACCUGGGAGGCUUGCUUAACUCAGAAUAAUUUACAGAAGAUGGGUUUUGCUCUUAGUAGUAUAAGGGUCUGAGUGUUUAGUUUCCUAGCAGUAUUAAAAAUGAAAAUACAUAUUUUGCUCAUUUAGGAUUUUAGGCGCUGAUCGUUCAGAUGGGAAAUUCUCAGUUGUGCAGUUUCAAGUGUCAAUAUGUCUAUACUUGAAGAUUCAUAAAUAUAGCCUCUCAAUUACAUUUUUAGGUGGAUGGAUAAUUUACCCUAGAGAUUAAGAAGAAAAAGGGACAGAAGAAAAUGUGUUAUUUUUGUGAUAGAUGCAAUGGAAUGGACAUAGUCUCAUUUACUUGGAAAAAGAGAAGGGAAAUAAAGUGGAACCAACAUAAAUGCGGAGGAGGUACAGAUAAAUAGUCGAUUUUUUCCUUGGGCUUGUAGUUCUUUUUCUUUUUUUUGGUAAUUAAUCACUUUGUAUUAAUCACCGGUAUAACUGUACAAAGCCAUAACAUCGCUUACACAACUAGCUAUCUCAUUACAAAUCCAACAACCUAUGUAAACAUGUAGACUACAAAAUCAAACAAACAUAAAACUCUGUACUAAUCUAUGUAUUCCAGUAGCAGCUCUAAUGUCGCAAAUGUAGGCUAUUUCGCGUGCAAUGGUAUUCCAUUCUCUCGGCCUUUUCCAAAAAUCCUUAGAUUCCUCUCAAUCCAAAUGGCAUGUGAUAUUUCUGCAUAAACCAUCCGAAAUAGUUUGGCUCUUUGGGAGUUUCCUUUAGCAUUCUGAAGUACCCACUGCAGGUGUUGCUCCCAAGUAUUUGUUGUCCUAUAUCCGUGCUGCAUCCAGUGCAUGAUCUUACUCCAUAAGCUCUUGGUAAAGACACAUUUUACAAACAUAUGCUCCCUACUUUCAUCAUGAUCAUGACAUAGUGCACAUUGUGUCUCCACAGCCAUUCCCCAUUGUCGAAGCCUAUCUGUAGUGAGAAGCCUGCCAUGUAAUAGCAUCCACAUGGUAAAUUGUGCUUUAGGCCUUGCAUUGUUUUGAAACAUUAAACAUUUUCAAUUCACACGAGGCCUAUCGCCCAGCAACUGUAAGUAUAUGUGCAUGGUCAAACUAGUCCCAGAGUUAUUCCCUUUGCACCUGGUUCAUAGUUGCUCGAGCAUUAAAGAUAGGUCUGAUUAUCCAACAAGCUUGCUUAGGCAUUGCUACUUGCAAAAAUUGCUGUUCUUUGAUGUAGUAGGAGGGGAUCCAUUUGAUCCACAACCUGUCUUGUUUAUUUUCCACAUCCCAACACACUUUGGCAAUAGCAGCUUUGUUCCACAAUUGAAUAUUCACUAGAUUCAGGCCUCCACUAGACUUAGGAGAACAAAUCUUCUCCCAUGAUACCAGGGCCUUCUUAGUAAUAUUAUUGGAUGUAAACCAAAUGUAGUUCCUAUAAUAAGCAUCCAUAAGCUUCAACACCUUGACAGGAAGUGGAAGCAGUUGAGCCCUUAUCUUCUCCUCCAACCGCUACCUCCUCCCGACAUGAAGGAAUGCCCAAUAAUCCUUCAAGGGCUGGUAUGUCCUUUCAGUUCUGGUCCGGGGAAGGCCGAUCAAAGAAAGGACUCCAAUACUGCCUGGUGCUGAUUCAGCAAUUUGCAUCCAGUAAGCUUGGAUGCCAAAUACCACACUUUGCACUAACUGUACCCUCCCUGCAUAGGAUAGUUUCUUAGCUGUCCACGAGGAUAUUCUUGCCACUAUCUUUUGAAUAAGGGGCUGCCAUUGAAUCAGUGAGAUCUUCUUAGUUGAUAGUGGUAUGCCCAAAUAUUUGAAAGGCAAUUCUCCAUGCCCAUAACCAGGUGUUUUAGAAUUCUAGUUCUCUCAGGUGGAGAGACCCCUCAAAAGUACACAGAGCUUUUUCCCAAGCUGGCUUGGAGUCUUGAAGAUUGUGAGAAAUGGCCGAAGCAUCUAUACAUGGCAUCAACUGACGAUACUGUUGCUGAGGACGAUGCUAGUGGCUAACGAGUUCGUUGAGUGGAUUCUAUUGCUGAGGAUCUUUAUAUGGUGUGUGGAACAACAAUAUUAGUGAAACUACAUGUCCAUUAGCUAUGUUCUAUACCAUUGGCUCUGGAUGUAGUUGUAAUGUCACAAACAUGCCCGUGAAGCAAAAGUACAAUAAAUAAGCUUGCCUGGAAGAAGGAAAGUUAUUCCGAAAGACAGCAAGCAGUUGUCCGAAGAUGAUCCUGCUGAUCCUAAGCUUGAUAUGUUAUUCAUUUCCUCUUCAAGACAAGCUGAAGAGCUAUCCUUUCCAGCAACCUCUGGUUCAACUUCUAGCUUUUGGUCAUCAUGAGUUAAGACAUGCGGCUUCAUCUCAGAAGAGCACUGGUUUUUCAGGUGGUCCUGUUCUCCAAAGAGGGGUUUCUGAAUGAGUUUGCAAUUCAUUAGUGUUGAAACUUGGUUCAAAAUAUGAAUAUGUUCGUACAGUCUGCAGGUGGGACUUGAAGGACAUACAACAGGUGGCUGAUAAUUGGAUAUAUUUCCUAUUUGGUAUGCAUGCCUUGUCUCGUGAAGCUAACUGAAAAGAUAUGCUGUCUUAGCAACUGUUAUUUGUUUAUUGGACUCAGUUAUGAACGUUCCUUUUUCAGGCGAGAGCUCCCCUGCUAGUGAGAUGCAGCAACUACGCACUUAUGUUUUCUAUCUUACUCUGCUUACGCAUUUAUCUAUCUCAUUGACAAAAUUUCGUGCAUCUAGGCAUAUGUUUUUUCCUUUAUAUCAUGCUUACUGACUUACAAACAAUUGUUAUGCCUCAGUCCCAGGCAAGUUGAGGUGACUAUAUGAAUCUUCAUUGUCCCAUAACGCUCCAUUUAAGCUCAUCUCAUCAUGCUUACUGACGUAAAAAAUACUUAUUUCGUAUUAAAGAUUACUAAGACAUUACACAUGUAUAAUAAUAUAUUAUAUCGUUGGCUUUAUGUACUUCACUAUCUACUUCUCUGUGAUGCCGACUUUUUUUGUUUGUUUGACAUGGGAAGAGAAGAAUGCUGAUCUUAGUUGUGUGCAUAUUCCUCCUGUAUCCAUUUAGUGGCAUGAUACUUUAGGGGUUCUUUCUUAUGAUACUCUAGCAUAAUUGGAUAUAGAAUUUGAUUAUAAACUUCACCACUGCAGAUGGGAAAUAUAACACAUGGUGCCUGCGAGACUUAGUUUUUGUGGUUCUUAAUGGUUUAGUAAAGCUAGCGUUUCAUCUAAAAAUAAUGAAGAAUUUUAUGAAAGAAUCUCAGUGGCUCGUGCUUAGCAGCAGCUAUGAGUUUGUUCUUGUUUGCCUAACAAGAUAGGGAAAAUCCAAUCUAAAGAUGAUCCUAUUAUGAAGCAUAUGCUGUAUCGAAAAUACCUUAAGUUUAUAACUACAACUCAAUUUCGUGCACAUGACAAUUUUUAGAGGGAGGGUCUUUUCUUAAUUGAGGUAUGAUUUAAACCAACUCCAAUUGCAAGGUGGAGUAGAUGCUCGGCAUCAACGCAUGCCUUGGCUUGUCUUAAUUUUUAGAUCUAUCAACUACUUAGUGUUACAUCUCUGUGACACAUCAGGUGUCUACCUUUUGGUGUUUUUUCUGUCUUCUCUAAUGUAACCAAAUCUUAGUUAUAACAUGGAUUCACAACUAUUAUGCUAGGAAUGUUUCUUCCCAGAUCUACUUCCUAUCCAACAUAACUUGGAGAAGUUUGAAUAUACUAGUAAAUAUGUGUUUGGCAAAUUGAUUCUUGUAAUACUGGUAUUUCCCUUGCUUGUCAAAAUCAUUAACUCUACAAUCUCAGGGUAUGUACAUCAGUAUGAAAGAAAUUUGCUUCUGUUGCCACGAUUCAAGUGCUUCUUGGUUGUUUUUUCACUGUUCCCAUCUCUUGCAAAAAUCAAUCUUGAUAACAUUAAAGCUCUCCUUGUUUCAAUCAGCUUAAUCUUGUGAAAACAUUCUUGAUUGCACUUGUGAUGUUUUCAGUUCAUAUUGUUCUAAGUAGCGCAUUAUUGUUAUUGCUGCUUUUGAGGGAUUACACACACACACACACACACUGUCAUCAUGUUUGUUAUCGGCUAGUAUAACAUGUUUGAAGCUUAUAGUGGCUAAAUGCUAAACUUCUGUCUGUCUUCAGAUGCAGGUACAAAGCAGAUGUUUUGGCUUAGCCUCUGCAUUUUCGUGAUGACUUAACUAGGUAGACUUGAACAGACCUUUCCUUUUGUAAUUGGAGAAUCUCUGAGUAGGUUUUGGAAAAUCUGCAGUGUUUAGAGCUAGGACACGCUUUGCUAUGGAGUUUAAUAAAUUGCACAGUUGCAUUAUUAA